Molecule: transfer RNA, 65 nt
Filed under: Trichuris sp. GHL-2013
Lineage: Eukaryota; Metazoa; Nematoda; Enoplea; Trichinellida; Trichuridae
Description: tRNA-Leu
Source: RNAcentral
UAACAUGGCAGAAUAAAUGCAACUGUUCUAAGAUCAGUCCAUAAUCUCUCAGGGAUUUGUUAACA